UCUAAGUAUAACCUGCCAGACAGGGAAACUGCGUACGGCUCAUUACACCAGCCUUAAUUUACUUGACCUUGACAACCUACUUGGAUAACUGUGGUAAUUCUAGAGCUAAUACAUGCACCAAAGCUCCGAUCCUCGCGGAGAGGAGCGCAUUUGUUCGCCACAAAACCAAGCGCCCAUCUGGGCGUCCAGUGCUGAACCAGAACAACUCAGCUGAUCGCACGGUCUUGUACCGGCGACGUGUCUUUCAAGUGUCUGCCUUAUCAACUUUCGAUGGUAGUGUACCUGACUACCAUGGUUGUGACGGGUAACGGAGGAUAAGGGUUCGACUCCGGAGAAGGGGCCUGAGAAAUGGCCACUACGUCUAAGGAUGGCAGCAGGCGCGCAAAUUACCCACUCUCAACGCGAGGAGGUAGUGACGAGAAAUAACGAGACCGUUCUCAUACGAGGCCGGUUAUUGGAAUGGGUACAAUUU
Molecule: ribosomal RNA, 472 nt
Filed under: unidentified nematode Sourhope farm
Lineage: Eukaryota; Metazoa; Nematoda
Description: SSU rRNA
Rfam family: Eukaryotic small subunit ribosomal RNA
Source: RNAcentral